UUAAUUUGAGAGUUUGAUCCUGGCUCAGGACGAACGCUGGCGGCGUGCCUAAUACAUGCAAGUCGAACGAACUCUGGUAUUGAUUGGUGCUUGCAUCAUGAUUUACAUUUGAGUGAGUGGCGAACUGGUGAGUAACACGUGGGAAACCUGCCCAGAAGCGGGGGAUAACACCUGGAAACAGAUGCUAAUACCGCAUAACAACUUGGACCGCAUGGUCCGAGUUUGAAAGAUGGCUUCGGCUAUCACUUUUUGGAUGGUCCCGCGGCGUAUUAGCUAGAUGGUGAGGUAACGGCUCACCAUGGCAAUGAUACGUAGCCGACCUGAGAGGGUAAUCGGCCACAUUGGGACUGAGACACGGCCCAAACUCCUACGGGAGGCAGCAGUAGGGAAUCUUCCACAAUGGACGAAAGUCUGAUGGAGCAACGCCGCGUGAGUGAAGAAGGGUUUCGGCUCGUAAAAACUCUGUUGUUAAAGAAGAACAUAUCUGAGAGUAACUGUUCAGGUAUUGACGGUAUUUAACCAGAAAGCCACGGCUAACUACGUGCCAGCAGCCGCGGUAAUACGUAGGUGGCAAGCGUUGUCCGGAUUUAUUGGGCGUAAAGCGAGCGCAGGCGGUUUUUAAGUCUGAUGUGAAAGCCUUCGGCUCAACCGAAGAAGUGCAUCGGAAACUGGGAAACUUGAGUGCAGAAGAGGACAGUGGAACUCCAUGUGUAGCGGUGAAAUGCGUAGAUAUAUGGAAGAACACCAGUGGCGAAGGCGGCUGUCUGGUCUGUAACUGACGCUGAGGCUCGAAAGUAUGGGUAGCAAACAGGAUUAGAUACCCUGGUAGUCCAUACCGUAAACGAUGAAUGCUAAGUGUUGGAGGGUUUCCGCCCUUCAGUGCUGCAGCUAACGCAUUAAGCAUUCCGCCUGGGGAGUACGGCCGCAAGGCUGAAACUCAAAGGAAUUGACGGGGGGCCCGCACAAGCGGUGGAGCAUGUGGUUUAAUUCGAAGCUACGCGAAGAACCUUACCAGGUCUUGACAUACUAUGCAAAUCUAAGAGAUUAGACGUUCCCUUCGGGGACAUGGAUACAGGUGGUGCAUGGUUGUCGUCAGCUCGUGUCGUGAGAUGUUGGGUUAAGUCCCGCAACGAGCGCAACCCUUAUUAUCAGUUGCCAGCAUUAAGUUGGGCACUCUGGUGAGACUGCCGGUGACAAACCGGAGGAAGGUGGGGAUGACGUCAAAUCAUCAUGCCCCUUAUGACCUGGGCUACACACGUGCUACAAUGGAUGGUACAACGAGUUGCGAACUCGCGAGAGUAAGCUAAUCUCUUAAAGCCAUUCUCAGUUCGGAUUGUAGGCUGCAACUCGCCUACAUGAAGUCGGAAUCGCUAGUAAUCGCGGAUCAGCAUGCCGCGGUGAAUACGUUCCCGGGCCUUGUACACACCGCCCGUCACACCAUGAGAGUUUGUAACACCCAAAGUCGGUGGGGUAACCUUUUAGGAACCAGCCGCCUAAGGUGGGACAGAUGAUUAGGGUGAAGUCGUAACAAGGUAGCCGUAGGAGAACCUGCGGCUGGAUCACCUCCUUUCUAAGGAA
Molecule: ribosomal RNA, 1578 nt
Filed under: Lactiplantibacillus plantarum
Lineage: Bacteria; Bacillati; Bacillota; Bacilli; Lactobacillales; Lactobacillaceae
Description: Lactobacillus plantarum 16S ribosomal RNA
Rfam family: Bacterial small subunit ribosomal RNA
Source: RNAcentral